Labeo rohita (rohu) is the source of this 766-nucleotide long non-coding RNA. RefSeq lists it as uncharacterized. The record is from RefSeq and is a predicted model, not a curated record. Lineage: Eukaryota; Metazoa; Chordata; Actinopteri; Cypriniformes; Cyprinidae. The transcript has 3 exons.
GGCGCCCCUCGGCGUCACUAUAUCGACGAACUGGGACCUACAUUGAUUUCAAUGGGAAACUUUUGGCGUCAGAACACAGACGCGAAGGACAUGAGAUGAUCGCUAUGAAAUCACGUUCAGGAAGUCUCAUUCAGCACACAUCGCGAUAUUUGCCAUCAGUUUACGUGUGCUGCAGGUUGGCUGAGGAGACCUAAAGGAAGCCGUCAGUCCAGUCUUGUUUGUGGAGAGGUCUUCAUUUAGAAACAGGGAAGACAGAAAGCUGCGGAGGGAGACAUUUGCAGUGGUAGUGUUGAAGUGAACAUGAAAACCACAAGUGUGUGUUGAACUUUUCAUUACCUGACGGGAUGCACUUGUAGUGUGGUAAAAAUGUGAGUGUUUACAGAGAUUUAUUUUUAGUUUCAACUUUGCAUUUUAAAAUAAACUUCUAAAUGUCUGUUCAGUAUCUCCCUAUAACAGAUGUCAAUUUAAUUUGUGGUGCUUCUAAUUAAGUGAUAAAUAAGCAGUAGCAAAUGAUGUACAAAAUAAAUAUUCUUCUUUUUGCAUAAAACAUGCAACACUUUGUUUUACUACCAAAUUAUUUGUAAUAUCUAAUUAUUAUAAUUAUUAUUCAUUUUUAACUUACAUUGGAAAGUUUUCCGGUUCUCUCGCAAGAUCUCACGAUUUAUUCCAAAACAUGAUGCACGAUGGGAUACGCUAAGCCUCCUGAGCAGUAUUUAAAAUGGUGUGGAUUUAGUGUGCUUUAAGGGCACUGCAGUUUGGCAUCAUU